CUCUUUUCAGCUCUCCUCUGUGUUUUGCAUUUUGUUUCCUCUUCCCGUGUUUCGUUUUCUUUGCGUGUAUACCUGUGCGCAUCCUCCUCCUCUUCCUCCUCUCUCUCGGCCGAUUUCCACCCUCCCCUUACCCACCCGCCACGCCUCGCUGCCCGACGUCGUUUUCUCUAUUCGUUUUGUUUUAAUCUGUCUCCCCUCCCCUCCCCUCCCCCCAAUACGGGUCUCUGUGUGUGUGUGUGUGUGUAUAGGCGCGCGUGUCUUCCUCUAACAGUAGCUAUACAUACAUACGCACACACGCACACGCGUGCAUACAUACAUAUACAUAUAAGCAACGUUAACACACAAGCACGGUCAGCCAUGCCCGCCAAACAGAAGAAGGGACGCGGAAAGACGGUAAACCUUUUCGAGUUCAAUGAAGACUACAUCCCUGAGGAGGCCCUCGACUGGGCCGAGGAUGACUGGAUGACGGCGGAGCAGGUCGGCGUGGCGAAGCUGUCCGAGAAGAUUGCGAAGCAGCGGCAGGAGUACAGCCGCAUGGCGAACAAUACAUUAGACCAGCAGGAGAGCUUCCGCACGGCGGCCGUGUCGGAGCAGAAGAAGUGCUUCACCAUUGACGACCUGCAGCCGCCGUUUGUGGCCCACUUCGGUAACCUGCGCAAUGGCACGACCGAGGAGGACUUCCUCUCCCUCUUCAACCGCGACGCCAUCGCUACCCACCGCCUCAUCAACCAGGAUGGCAAAUCCUUCGCAUUCGUGGAGUUCGUCUCCGCGCAGGCGCUGACGGUAGCGCUGUCGCUAGACCAAACCUUCCAGCGCGGUCGCCGCAUGUACGUCGACCUCGCUACACAGAAGCAGGUGGAGCGGCUGCUCAACCGCAACACGAACGAGCGCCCGGGUAUGUCACGCGAUUCAGCUGGCCAGCAGCAGCCUGGCGGCCUCGCCGCUAUGGGGCUGUCCCGCGACGUCUUCGGCGGGCAGCAGCCCGAGGACCAGCCGGGCAUGCCAUCGAUGGGCAGCCGCUCGAACUUCGGCUCUCGCGUCGACCUCCACAACCUCGGCGACCUGUCGCGCGACAUGCUAGGUUCGGCGGUGCAGCAGGCAUCGCCCACGUCGUGCAGCCCGAUAUGCGGCGCCGGCUCCCCAAUGAGCUUCGGCAACUGGCGCAGCGACGCCCCGGAGCAGCAGCCGGAGUUUCCCAUCUCGCGCGAGAACUGCCGCAGCGAGGACAGCUUUGACCGCCGCGCCGGACACCUUCGCCGCAGCAGCGGCCCGGCCAGCCCGGCCCCCCCGGUUCUGCCGCCGGAGCCGAAGCCGAACCCGUUCAGCGGGGAGACAGGCAACUGGCGUGACGCACCGCGCGCCGAGGUGCCGAAGAUGGAGGAGCUGUCGGCGGUCACUGCCGAAGGUGACACUACAACGCCGAGCGAGCACAAGACGGAGGAACACAACGCCGGCGGCGCCAGCAACAGCGGUGCAGCCAGCAGCCCAAGUAGCAACGGUCGCGGUCGCGGCGCAGGCGGUAUUGGCCGUGGCGGUAGUCGCGGCGGCCGCGGUGGCGCAGGCUCCUGUGAGAGGAGCUCCUUCGGCGGCGAGAGGAGCGGAUUUGGUGGUGAGAGGAGCGGAUUUGGUGGCGAGAGGAGCGCGCCACCCAAGCCGUCCGGCCCCGUGAACACAGACAAGUGGGCUGACCUGCGCCGCAGCUGAGCAAGUAAGAAGCGGCAGUCCCCGCCCAUAUGCAUGUGCACAUGUGUUUCUCAUGUUUCCCUCCUCUUUCAACAUCUCUGCUCCUAAACUCGUAAGCGUAGCGUCGGGAUAUGCGAGGGGGUGGCGUGGAUCGAUGGGGUUCACGGUCGGUGUCUGCCGGUGCGUCUGUGCCUCUGUGUGUGUGUGUGUGUGUGUGUGUGUGUGUGUGUGUGUGUGUGUGUGUGUGUGUGUGUGUGUGUGUGUGUGUGUGUGUGUGUGUGUGUGUGUGUGUGUGUGUGUGUGUGUGUGUGUGUGUGUGUGAUUGUGCUUCCACCGGUGUCGACAUUGCUGAACGCAUUCGAUUUCUGUUCUUUCUCUCUUCCUUUCAGGCUGCGGAUAGUGUUGAGUGUGGGGGCGUGGCAUCGGUGUGUCUGUGUGUGUGCGUGUGCUUGCCACAUCUUCCCCAGUCUUUUUUUUUUUUCCUCUUUCUCUGUGUGCGUGUCUUCUAUGCCACCGUGAGCAUGUGCUGUGCUGGCAGUCCGUUGGCUUGUUCCCUCUCGGCGCGUGUGUGUCUCUCGCUUCUCCCUUCUCUCUUCCUGUUUCUCGGCCGCUGUGUGCCCUUGAUGAUGCGGAGCCACAUGCGGUCACGGCGCCAUCCCGGCUACAGUCACCCCUCCGCUUUACCCCCGUCACCACGGUCAGCAAUGGCACACGCCGCCACCUCCUCCAGCACUCGGGCGCAUCUCUCCAUCGUUAACUUUCUUGUUUUUCUCUUUGAGCAACUGUGUGAUUCGGAGCGAUUUAAAGAAACCUUUAGCGAGCAAGCAAGCAAUAUAUAAGCAACAGCAACUCCCCCCCCCUCCUCCUCCGCCUCCCUCUCAUCCGCCCCGCCUCCUCGGACACAAGAGGAAGCGACAGCGGACGCACACGCGCGUGCGUGAAAACGGAUGCGCGCGAAGGGAGACGGUCCACACAGAGCGAGAGAGAGAGGGAAGAGCUAGAAAGACAUAUGGGAUGCGGAGAGAAGGGGGAGAGGCCACAGACAUGCAUACUCACUGACAGAGAGGGGGAGGAUGGGACCCCAUUGCUUAACCCAAGUGUGUUUAUAAGAGAGAAGCCUAAUGGGUGCGUAGGUGUUUGUGUGUGUGUGUGCGCGCGCGUGUGUGGAAGAGGCUUUUUUUUCAUUCGCUCAGUGUGUUGUUGCACUCGGCUCCUCGUCGUGGCUGUGACGGUUGCCGCUGUGGCCGUUGUUUCACUUUUCCUUGCUCCAGCCUCAUUUUGCGUUUGUUUUCUGCGCUUGACGGUUGCUCAUCAAAGGAAGACGGAGUGCCAAACGCACCGCCAGGAGGAAUGUGUGUGCGCAUCGCGCGCCCUCGCUUGCAUCCCUCUCCCCCCCCCCUACUCUCUGCCCUCUCAUGCCGGAUGCCCAUCACACACACGGACAGAGAAACUGACGCCGCUGUCACCUUCCACCCUUUCCUCUUGUUCUUUCCUCCUCCUUUGCCUUGUUGGUCCUGCGGUGCGCGCGCGUGUUUCUGUUUUGGCGUGUGGAGCGUCUUCCUCGUUGGUGCUUGAUGUGGGUGGCCGUUGAGUCUGAAUUCGAGAGACUGAAGUCGGUGGGGGGAGGAGUGAGAAGGGGUGGAGACAGCGUGCAGCGGCACGCAUGUCUUGCGAGGGAUGCGCUGGAGAACGGUUUUACUUCCUCCGGCGUGUGCCCUCCACUCGCUUUCGGCUUCCCAUCGGCAUGAGUAAUGCGUAUGUGUGCUUGUGUGGGUGUGUGGUGUGCCGCAGCUUCUCGCUCCGUGUUUCUUUUUCCUUGUGUGUUUACUAACAUCGUAAGCGAAUCUCCCCUCCGCAUACAAGCAAUGUCCAGGCGCACCCGUUUGAAACCCAAACGCGGGAUAAGGCGCGCGCGCGUGGCCACCGGAUGCGUUUCCCAGCCCCGCUCUUUGCCGCCGGCGCGUCUCAUGCACAACGCCCCUUCCUCCCUGAUGCUGGUCUUCGCGUCCGCUGCGCCACGCCAGCGCCGCCUCAACACCACCGCC
This 3728-nucleotide unclassified non-coding RNA is filed under the name Leishmania donovani. RNAcentral describes it as "gene:LdHU3.25.1440(CDS-product:hypothetical_prote in_conserved)". Lineage: Eukaryota; Euglenozoa; Kinetoplastea; Trypanosomatida; Trypanosomatidae. The record is from RNAcentral.